UGGGGAAUAUUGCACAAUGGGCGCAAGCCUGAUGCAGCCAUGCCGCGUGUAUGAAGAAGGCCUUCGGGUUGUAAAGUACUUUCAGCGGGGAGGAAGGUGUUGAGGUUAAUAACCUCAGCAAUUGACGUUACCCGCAGAAGAAGCACCGGCUAACUCCGUGCCAGCAGCCGCGGUAAUACGGAGGGUGCAAGCGUUAAUCGGAAUUACUGGGCGUAAAGCGCACGCAGGCGGUCUGUCAAGUCGGAUGUGAAAUCCCCGGGCUCAACCUGGGAACUGCAUUCGAAACUGGCAGGCUAGAGUCUUGUAGAGGGGGGUAGAAUUCCAGGUGUAGCGGUGAAAUGCGUAGAGAUCUGGAGGAAUACCGGUGGCGAAGGCGGCCCCCUGGACAAAGACUGACGCUCCGGUGCGAAAGCGUGGGGAGCAAACA
Molecule: ribosomal RNA, 427 nt
Filed under: uncultured bacterium
Lineage: Bacteria
Description: partial 16S ribosomal RNA
Rfam family: Bacterial small subunit ribosomal RNA
Source: RNAcentral